UGGCUUUGAACCACAGUCCUCUGAUCUCAGCCUCCUGUGUAGCUAGGAUUACAGGUGUGAGCCACCAGUGCCUUUUGAGAGGUCAUUCUUUUGUUGGGACCAAGCAAGACAGACCUCUCUGUGAAGCCACAGCAGAGUUCCAGAGUGUCAAUGGAGUGUAGGUUAUGGUACAGGAUAUUGGAACAAUUGAUAAAGGACUAGACAUACAAUGAGGAGCAGAGGCAGCAACUGAUGCCUGCUUAUAUAGGAGCAGUUUAAUCAAAUAACAUUAUGAAUAAUGGAAGAGAGAAAUCUGUCAAAGG
This is a long non-coding RNA of Perognathus longimembris pacificus (Pacific pocket mouse), 302 nucleotides long. RefSeq lists it as uncharacterized. The transcript has 2 exons. The record is from RefSeq and is a predicted model, not a curated record. Lineage: Eukaryota; Metazoa; Chordata; Mammalia; Rodentia; Heteromyidae.